Hypoxylon sp. FL1284 is the source of this 92-nucleotide non-coding RNA. The record is from the annotation of a GenBank genome assembly. Lineage: Eukaryota; Fungi; Ascomycota; Sordariomycetes; Xylariales; Hypoxylaceae.
GGUGCCUUAGAGAAGUGGUUUAACUCACUCCCUUUGGGUCCGGUCGCACGGUCGUAUGGGAGAGAUCGAGGGUUCGAAUCCCUCAGGCACCC